RNAcentral lists this non-coding RNA (21 nucleotides) under Caenorhabditis elegans. The record is from RNAcentral. Lineage: Eukaryota; Metazoa; Nematoda; Chromadorea; Rhabditida; Rhabditidae.
UGACAGAGGGACCACGCCAAA